Molecule: ribosomal RNA, 301 nt
Filed under: uncultured bacterium
Lineage: Bacteria
Description: partial 16S ribosomal RNA
Rfam family: Bacterial small subunit ribosomal RNA
Source: RNAcentral
CAGCCGCCGCGGUAAUACGAAGGGUGCAAGCGUUAAUCGGAAUUACUGGGCGUAAAGCGCACGCAGGCGGUUUGUUAAGUCAGAUGUGAAAUCCCCGAGCUUAACUUGGGAACUGCAUUUGAAACUGGCAAGCUAGGGUCUUGUAGAGGGGGGUAGAAUUCCAGGUGUAGCGGUGAAAUGCGUAGAGAUCUGGAGGAAUACCGGUGGCGAAGGCGGCCCCCUGGACAAAGACUGACGCUCAGGUGCGAAAGCGUGGGGAGCAAACAGGAUUAGAUACCCGCGUAGUCCCUGUCUCUUAUAA